RNAcentral lists this transfer RNA (72 nucleotides) under Ictidomys tridecemlineatus (thirteen-lined ground squirrel). Its description in RNAcentral is "Spermophilus tridecemlineatus (thirteen-lined ground squirrel) tRNA". It matches the Rfam family "tRNA". From Rfam's summary of the family: Transfer RNA (tRNA) molecules are approximately 80 nucleotides in length. Lineage: Eukaryota; Metazoa; Chordata; Mammalia; Rodentia; Sciuridae. The record is from Rfam by way of RNAcentral.
GGCAAGGUAGCUCAGUGGUAGAGUGCUUGCUUAGCAUGUGAAAGACCCUGAGUUCAAUCCCCAGUAUGGCCU